This 520-nucleotide unclassified non-coding RNA is filed under the name uncultured Glomus. RNAcentral describes it as "bacterial SSU rRNA". It matches the Rfam family "Eukaryotic small subunit ribosomal RNA", at positions 569 to 1092 of the family's 1831-position model. Lineage: Eukaryota; Fungi; Glomeromycota; Glomeromycetes; Glomerales; Glomeraceae. The record is from RNAcentral.
AGCAGCCGCGGUAAUUCCAGCUCCAAUAGCGUAUAUUAAAGUUGCUGCAGUUAAAAAGUUCGUAGUUGAAUUUCGGGAUCAUCAUGUCGGUCGUGCCUCGGGUACGUACUGGUUUUAUUGGUUCCUCCCUUCUGACGAAACAUGAUGUCAUUAAUUUGGUGUCGUGGAGAAUCAGGACUGUUACCUUGAAAAAAUUAGAGUGUUUAUAGCAGGCUAACGCUUGAAUACAUUAGCAUGGAAUAAUGAAAUAGGACGUUCGACCCUAUUUUGUUGGUUUCUAGGAUCGACGUAAUGAUUAAUAGGGAUAGUUGAGGGCAUUAGUAUUCAAUUGUCAGAGGUGAAAUUCUUGGAUUUAUUGAAGACUAACUACUGCGAAAGCAUUUGCCAAGGAUGUUUUCAUUAAUCAAGAACGAAGGUUAGGGGAUCGAAAACGAUCAGAUACCGUUGUAGUCUUAACAGUAAACUAUGCCGACUAGGGAUCGGGUCACCUCAAUUAUGAUGUGUGACUCGGCACCUUACG